Molecule: small nuclear RNA, 115 nt
Organism: Bombina bombina (fire-bellied toad)
Lineage: Eukaryota; Metazoa; Chordata; Amphibia; Anura; Bombinatoridae
Product: U5 spliceosomal RNA
Exons: 1
Source: RefSeq, a predicted model, not a curated record
AUACUCGGUUUUCUCUUCAGAUCGAAUAAAGCUUUCACCUUUACUAACGAUUUCCGUGGAGAGGAUCAUCCAUAAGUUCUAAAAACUUUUUUGAGGCUCUGCCCCUUGCAGGGCU